Long non-coding RNA from Cloeon dipterum, 871 nucleotides. RefSeq lists it as uncharacterized. The record is from RefSeq and is a predicted model, not a curated record. NCBI's taxonomy places the organism in Eukaryota, Metazoa, Arthropoda, Insecta, Ephemeroptera, Baetidae. The transcript is spliced from 2 exons.
GCAAUCGAUUUGAAGUAGAACAGGGGAAUGUCGCGGCACAAGAAACGUCUUUUACAGGCCUAAACUCAUGUAAGUGACCCUCCAGUUUUUGCGAAAUUAACGGGGAAUGAGAAUAAUAUUCGUAUUUUGAAGAAGCUUUAAGACCUUUUUAGUCGAAAAAUUGCUCGUCUGGUCCGACCAGUUUAGUUUAAUUGGCAUAAUAAGUCGAUGGGCUCAGAAUAAAAACGGCCCUCGCUCCUCCGAACCUUAUCAAAACGUGAUGAGAGCCUGCUGGUGUACUACCAUCGUCGCGCUUCUGCUGGCCGCUGCGGCCGCGGCAGCACGGCCCAACGCUGACUCCAUCAUGAAGCAACGCACAGUGCCCAACGACGUCCAUCUUCCAAAUGGAUACGUCCGCUUAAUGAUUUCAGGUAUUGGCCCUGAGGGUCUACACGCGUCACCCCCGUACUAUGUUUCCUAUACACCGCAGAAACACAUCAAAUAUGUUGUGUCGCUACCGUCUCCACAUGCUGCGGUGCAAAAACGACCAGCUAUAUUUUCCUCUGCAGAAUCGCUAACAGCCAAGCAGAAAGUAAAAAAGCAACGAAGAAGCAGACGUGGACUGGUGCGGAGGAGGAGUAUGCAUUACAGACAUUAACACAGCGACCAAGACUGCACUGAUGCUUUGAUUAGAGAGCCUCAAAAGUGCAUUUAAAAAUUUUGACUCAUUGAAGUAAAGUACAUAUUUAAAUUAUGUUAGAUUUCAUUUUCCUCUUGCAACCGUGUUUUGACUGUUAUGAUAGAUUCAUAAGUUUUCUCUGACUGCUUCUGUACAGAAAUGUGUUUUAGAGCAAACAACAAAAAUAAAAAUAUGAAACUUUAUUCCCAGAAA